Molecule: long non-coding RNA, 3850 nt
Organism: Neofelis nebulosa (Clouded leopard)
Lineage: Eukaryota; Metazoa; Chordata; Mammalia; Carnivora; Felidae
Exons: 3
Source: RefSeq, a predicted model, not a curated record
CCCCUCUCUCCCCCUCACCCUCUCUCUCUCUCUCCCUCUCUCCCUCUCCCUCUCUCUCUCUCUCUCUCUUUUAAAAAAUCAGCCAUUUGGGGUUUUAAGCCAUAAACGAUUUUUCUUGUUGCAGGGGAUUGCAGUGGCAAAGCUAGGCUAGGUCUUGGAGGCUGGUGUAAGGCGAAGCGGGUGAAGGCAGGAGGCUGAUGGAGAGACUGGGGGGAAGAAAAGCCGAAAUGGAUUCACGGUGCCUUGGAUGGAGGACGAGAGGGGAACUGCAGGCUCCUUCAACUCGUUCUGUCCGGUGAGAAGUGAUCAAGCUUGGGCUGACAAGAGGCUCAGGGAGUCCUCACGUUCUUUCGCUUUUUUACCUGCCAAUCAAACUGCUACAAGACAACACCCUGAUCUGGCAUGGACAUCGCGGGUCCAAGCCUGUAGUCCCAAAUCGGAUAUCUCUGCAGCUGAUAACAAGCAAAAGAGAAGCCAGGCAACAGCCAUAUUAAAGAAGAAAACAAUCAACUCUGAGGAUGCCACCCUGAAAGUUUUAUUUUCUCCAGGAAAGUAGAGUUCUCUUUGAGAGUUCUAGCCCGUGAACUCAGUAUGUAAAUGUGGUCAUCAAGCAAGACGGAGCUGCCAAGAGGGGAAGAUUUUGAAUGUUUCUCUUUCCUAAAACCCUUCCCAGCGUUCCUUCUUUCGGGGGUGCUUCACUCAAAGUUUCCCCCUUCCCCCAGCCCUGUUGAAAAAGGCCCCAAAGCAACAUUGCGGGAGCUAAACCAAUUGUACUGUGAAGUUGACGAGCUGGCAUUUCGUCUGAAUCCUUUGUAAAAAUUAGAUUUUAAGUAGGGGUGAGUGUCCUUUUGGGAGAAGGGACAAGGGAGAGUGGAAGAAGAGGGGGAGGGCAUGAGCAGUUUAUAUACAUACAUACUCUUUGUGUUUGCGGGCCUCUGUGUCUUGCCUUCUCACUAUGUUAAAUCCCUAUUAUAAAACUUAUCUUCACAAAGCCUAUUAUAGUAUCCUGAGAACAAAUUGGACCAUGAAUAACUUAGUUGGAAGUGUAGAUUAUUUUCUACUCGGGGAAAGUUAGAGAUGACAACAGCUUAACUAAAAGAAUAGUGAUUACUCUUAAAUAGAUGGAUUUCAAAGUUUCACUCUUGAUGAAGAGUGCCUUUGAUAUUUCCCCUCUUCAGACUCAUGUUUCCACUUUCUUUGUAUUAAGAAUUGUCCCGGUGAUUACACUGUCCACCUAAUGCAGCCUGACUCUAACUGUAGAUCUUUUUCUUACAGGUUGCGAAUCUGUCAGAGAGGUGAGCAGAAAGACACUCUACUUCCCAUUGAUUAAAUAUAUGGUUCCAAAGUGGCACCUGUGUUUAGAUGGUGAACUCACUGUUAGAAAUAACAUCUUGCAUAAAUCAACAUUUCUCAAUUGGAUAAAAUUAUUGUUCAGAAACAUCUUAAAUUUGUUUAAUGCCCUACAGCUGACAGAACACUUCUCAAUUCAUAAUUUUGUUUGAUCCUUAGAAUGAUGUGAUGAAAUAAAUAACAUUAAUCUCACUUUACCAAGGAGGAUGCUGAGUCGCUUGCACACUGUGAUCCAGCUGAUAAAUGACAGAACUGGGAUACCAACUCAGAUUUUAUGGCUUCAAAAUGUUUUAACUGAUUAGCCCGUAGCAAUAGGUAUUUAAAUAGUUUUUGUCUUCUGUAUCCCUGAAAAUCAAGAUUUUUGUAUUAAAGAGCAAAGCUCUGUAUUUCACAGAUACAGAAGUUAAAAGACCUGAUUUUAAAAAAAAUUCUAUCCACUUACACGUAAAUGUCGUGAAUUAUUGUGUGUACUUCAAUAGUCUUUCAGAGUUGCAAGUCUUAUUUUCUAAAGAUCAAAGCCCUAUAUGAAUUAAAUAACUGCCUGCAAUUUUUAAAAUGUACUUGAAAACCAUACAUUGUUUCAAAAUAGAAUAUAACAACAAAUAAACCUCUAGAAACAGGUUCUGCCUGUAAAGUAUUUGAGAGCAUGGCAUUGAUUAAGUUCUAGAGUGCUGUAAGGGAGGUUUCCCUAAAAGUGUUUUACUGUUUUUCAGCUUCAUUGAGAUAAAUUGACAAAAUUGUAAGAUAUUUAAAGUAUAUAUUAUGAUGAUUUGAUAAAACAUACACAUGAAAUUUAUUCCUCCUAUUUAGUUAAUUAACACAUUACAUCACAUCUCUCUCUCUUUCUCUUUCUCUCUUUUUGGUGAGAACCUUUAAGUUCUACUCUGUUAACAGAUUUCAAUUAUUCAUUAUAGUGUCAUCAGUUACAGUCACCGUGUUAAGCAUUAGAUCCUCAGACCUUAUUCUAUAGCUGAAAGUUUCUACCCUUUUACCAACCGAUUCCUAAUUCCCUGACUCCCCAGUCCCUGCCCUUCUAGUUUUUCUAGACUGGCAAUUUGUAACAUCUUAGCAAGUUGGAUAAACAACGUUGUAUAGGGCUACUUUUAUUUUUCUUUGGUUUUUUCUCUUCAUUAAAAAAAAAAAAAAAGUUUGCAAAAACUCUAGAAAUAAUAAAUAAAAUAUUUAUUAUUUAAUAAAUAAAAUAGUGUUUAAUAAGUAAAAUAUUUAGUUAACUUGCUAUUGAUGUAAUCUAUCUAAAUCUAUUUAAUGUAUCUAUGUAAUCUAUCUAAUCUAUUUAAUAAAUAAAAUAUUUAGUAUUUAAUAAAUAAAAUAUUUAGUUAACUUGCUAUUGAUGUAAUCUAUCUAGACAAACAGAAAUCAAGAAAUACAAAAGGCUAAUGCCUUGGUGAUUCUUCUUAGGUUUUUAAUUACAUUGUUUUAAUUAGGUAAUGAAGUCAGUGUGGAUGUUAAUGUGGAAAUUAUUUGUUUAUUUCUUAAAUUGUAUGCACUUAAAUUAGUCAUUUUAUAUAUACUUAAGUUAAGGUUUUUGUCCUUGAAUUAUGUUGGCAGCUAGACAAAUCCAGUCAGACUUUUGGGGAUUAGAUAAAAUGAAAAAGUGUCCAGAAAAGGAAAGGCAACUGUUCUGGUUGGAUGUUACAUUUGUGAGUUUGUAUCAAUAAUGACAUAUAUUAUCACCUCUCUUAUGCUAAGGUUCCUCAAUUAAAACACGACGUUAGACUGAAGAUUGCUCAUUUUGAUUUGGAGAUAGAUGUUCAGGCCCCCAAAUUCAAACUUGUCUACUAAUCUGCAAAUUAAGCAAUGAAAAAAAUAACUCUCAUAUUAACACUAAUAUGUUUGUUUAGAUGCCUUUUGCAAUUUUUAAGUUUCUUAUUAUAUUACCAAUUUCAUUUAUUUUAGUCACAUGUGUCUUGAUAAUGUCUACCACUGUCCAAAACAUGUUUCCUUCCUUCCUUCUUUCCUCCUUCCCCCCUUCCUCCCUUCCUUCUUGUCUUCUCUUCUCUCUUCUCCUUCCUUCCCUCUCUUCCUUCCUCCCCUUAUGUUACUCAUCAGUUUUCAGGUAGUUUUGUUUUAAAAUGUAGAGCAGCUUGGGCCUUAAGGGGCUUAUCUAACACAAUCUCACGACAAAACCAGUAUGCUUGCACAAGAAAACAUUUACUUCAGUUAAACUUAUAACAAAUCGGAGAACCCCAAAGUGUAAUAUCAACACUUCUCUGACAACCAAAAUUCAAUCCUGAGGGAUUAACUUUUAAUGUUAUAGAUUCCGGUAAUUUUCCUCCUGUGCUGUCUUCAUAGUCUUUUUAAGUCAUUUAAGCUAUCAAAUAGUUUUUGUGUAAGCUUCUCAUGUUGUAAAAGGAAAAGAUGAAGGAGGAGGCGAAUUAUUUUAGUAAUCUGAAAAGAAAUGUUGUCAUGUUUAUAUGUGAGUACAUAGAAGCACCAUGGAAAACAUUGGAAAGCAUAAAUAAAGAUCAGAGAUUACUCA